Small nuclear RNA from Colobus angolensis palliatus, 104 nucleotides. The record is from Ensembl. Lineage: Eukaryota; Metazoa; Chordata; Mammalia; Primates; Cercopithecidae.
GCUCUCGCUUCAGGAGCACAUGUGUUAACAUUGGAACAAUACAGAGAAGAUUAGCACAGCCCUCAUGAAAUGACAUACAAAUUCAUGAAACAGUCCAUAGUUUU